Molecule: long non-coding RNA, 2391 nt
Organism: Gallus gallus (chicken)
Lineage: Eukaryota; Metazoa; Chordata; Aves; Galliformes; Phasianidae
Source: Ensembl
CUCUUUUACAAUCUCUUCCAUGUUGGUAAGCACCAGGUCCAGCAACGCUUCACCUCUUGUUGGUCUGUCCAUUACCUAAACCAGAAAGAUAUUGUCAGUGGACUCCAAGAGUCUCCUGGGUCACUUGCAGAUCACAAUGUUGUUUUCUAGCAGAUAUCUGAGUGGUUGAAAUCUCCCAUCCAGAUGAGAACCCGUGAGCACAAUGCCUCUUGCAGCUGAAGCAAGAAGGCCUUGUCAACAGCUCCCCUUGAUCAGGCAGCUUGGAGUAGACCCUGACCACCAGAUGCCCUUUACUGGCCCUGUCCCUAAUCUUAACCCACAAGCUCUUAACCUGUUCCUGACUGUUUCUCAGGGGCAGCUCUCAGCAGAUUAUCCACUUCUUAACAAGAAGAGGGCCACUCCCCCACCUCUCCAAUUUGCCUAUCCCUUCUAAAAAGUUUACAGCCCUCAAUCAUGGUAUUCCUCUUGUGAGUCAUCCCACCGUGUUUCCAUGAUAGCAAUAAGAUUGUAGUUUUCCAAUUGCACCACAGUUUCCAAUUCCUCCUGCUUACUUCCCAUGAUGUGUGCAUUGGUACAGAGGCAUUUCAGCUGAAAGUGCCAAAGGUCACAUCUCUGUUUGCCUUGGACCCUUUAUAGAUACAGAUAUAAAACCAGAUAAAUAUGACUGUUUGGAGCUAAAUGCGUGUGCUGCAAGAGUGUGUUAUUAAUGAGAAAAAAGCCUGAAGGCACAGUGACUCCUAGCUCAUGGCCAGCAGACCAUUGCUGUUGUUCUGGGGAAGCAAAUGGGAAAAGCAGAGCCAGCCAAGGAGCAGACAGCCUACACAGGGAUGGAUUUUGCUCCUGGCCCUUUCUCAGGCAAGGCGAGAGCUUUUCCUGAGUGCAACCCACAAGACUGGAUCCACAGCUCCUCCGCCUGCAGCACUUCAAGACUUCCAGGUUGGAGACAAUGCGUCUGGAAAUUUGGGCUGUAGCCACCACAACUCCAUUCCUAUGGCCGUCUCCCAAAUGACUGAAGACCUCUGGCUUCUCUGGAUGCUCUUUCUCAGGUUCUGUUGUCCUGCGGUGUUUCUUCCAAAGUACCUGACAAACCCUGGAAAUGGCACUGGGUGCUUGAGUCCAGGUGAACAAUACAGAGUGAGGAAAGGAAUGCUCAUUGGCAUGACUUCCAGCCUCAGACUUGUAGUGAAGCCACAGUGCGGUGUUGGGAGCUGAGCACAUCCACCUUUGGUAUCUGCCCAGAAAAUGGUCUGGCUCCAUGGAUGUAUUCACUGGGAAUAGCUGUAUAAGCUGGAAUACAGUCAAAGAUACAUGGCAGAGAAACCUGCCCUGUGAAUAAAGCCUUUGUUAAGAGGCAUUCCAUCUGUACAUGAUUUCAUCAGCUCCAUGAAAUGUGCAGGACAUUUAUAUGGUGAAUUAGGCACAGCUCCUGUUUUGAGAGAGAAAAUGCUUCUGUGUGCUUUUCCACCGAAGUCUGUUGCUACACGAAGAGGGGAGGAAACCUUCUGCAAUGCUGUUACUGUUCUCAGCCACAGGACAGGGCAAGCAUUGGGACCGUGCUAACAUGGCUAUAAAAAUAACGUGCAUGUAAAAAGCAUCAAAUGCACAAAAAAAUUGGCAUCGCCCUCUUCUUUGCCUUCUCUCCCUUAAAUGUGGAGAUACUUAAAACAGUGUAAAUAACAUUCAAGACAGCUAAAGAGCAGUCCACAGUGCUGAAACACUCCUGCCGUCCAAAGCAGCUCCAUGCCAGCUAUUUCAUUUACCAUAUGUUUGGUGUGGUUUUGGCAGAGUCAACAUGAGGAUUUUUGGGCAGGCCUGCAAAACAGUUUUUCCCUUCCUCCACCCAAACGUGACCCAGUCCUGUCUGCCAUGAUCACGCCAUUGCACAGGGUCAGCCUGGCUGUUUUGGGCAGAAUUAGUCAGAGGGGCAUUUGGAAAGAUGCCCAAGGAGGGCUGAUUCAUUUUCCAUAUAAGUGGUUGCAUUAUGGAGCAGGAAGGAGAAGGAAGACGCAAUGUUUGGGAUGGAGAUGCUGGGUAAUGCUGAAGGACCACACAGGGAUUAUAGGAUUCCUUCUCCAGGUCCAAGGCAGGUGUGGUUGGGAUGCACUGGCUGUGGGGGCAAGCUGCCAGCCCCAUGGCACUGUUUUCAGCCAUCCUGCAGGAACUGCCAGAGGCUGUGAACCAGUGACUGGAAACGUGGAGCUUUGCUCCUGGGGUCGUCUGGUUUCAGAUGUGGAGAACACGGGCUCCAGGCAGCCCAGUCCAGCAGAGAACUGCCUGAGCUGUGAGCAGACUCUCCGGGGUGGGGCUUAAUUUUCCUUAAAAAUGAGUGGGACGCAGUGCCCAGACAUACAGUCCAGUUGGUGCCAUCCAGCUAGGGCCUGGGACUUGUCU